CCUACGGGCGGCUGCAGUGGGGGAUAUUGGUCAAUGGGGGGAACCCUGAACCAGCGACACCGCGUGAGGGAAGAAGGUUUUCGGAUUGUAAACCUCUGUUGUCGGGGAAGAUAAUGACGGUACCCGAUGAGGAAGCCACGGCUAACUACGUGCCAGCAGCCGCGGUAAUACGUAGGUGGCAAGCGUUGUCCGGAAUUACUGGGUGUAAAGGGAGCGUAGGCGGGAAGGCAAGUUGAAUGUUAAAUCUAUCGGCUCAACCGAUAGCCGCGUUCAAAACUGUCUUUCUUGAGUGAAGUAGAGGCAAGCAGAAUUCCUAGUGUAGCGGUGAAAUGCGUAGAGAUUAGGAGGAAUACCAGUGGCGAAGGCGGCUUGCUGGGCUUUUACUGACGCUGAGGCUCGAAAGUGUGGGGAGCAAACAGGAUUAGAUACCCCUGUAGUC
Molecule: ribosomal RNA, 439 nt
Filed under: uncultured Oscillospiraceae bacterium
Lineage: Bacteria; Bacillati; Bacillota; Clostridia; Eubacteriales; Oscillospiraceae
Description: bacterial SSU rRNA
Rfam family: Bacterial small subunit ribosomal RNA
Source: RNAcentral